GCAAUCAUAAAAUAACUUUAUUGGUCAGGUUAGCCACCACUCAUGCUUUUCCUGUAAUAAGGAUCCUUUAUAAAGGCAUGAUGGUGUUCACAUGCAGAUGCUUUCUGAAGAGCCCUGGGGCAGGGGGCAGCCUUGCCCCUCACAUCGGAGCUCCUUUGUUGAAAUGAGCUGGUUUGGCUUUUGUGGAUUCCAGGUCUGGAGCCAAGAACGUAGUCCAAAGAUCCCCUCUUCCCUUCUCAGGGAAGGUGCUUCAAAGCAUACACAGUAUCAGGGAUGUGAUGGCAUCUGGGCAGAGCCUAUACUUGGGCUAACUCUCCUCCAACAGUCCUUGCCCCUGACUGCCCAGAUGGCUUUGUCCCAACCUUGCCCAAAGGGCAGGUGGGUUAAGCCCCAGGCAACAUUACCUUUUGAAAUGGGAAGAAUUAAGUGCUCCCCAGCCAAACUAUAAAGCAAAAGCCACCUUCACUAAUGAGGAUAUAGCUCAGAGAUGUGAAAGCAGAGGGUUGUAUGCCCAGCACAGGCAAGAUUUGGCUGCCUGGCCUGGGCUUCACGGACCCCAGCCAGAGCUGGUACUUUUUAACUAUGGCCUUAGGACAAACCAGGUGAAACAGAUUAACCACAUCCUCCUUCUUUGGGCUAGCAAGUCCAGGGCUGCCUGGAGUCUGUCUCUACCAUCAGGAUAUAGAAUCUUCCUGCUUGGAUAAAAGGAGAGGACAAACUGUGUUUCUCAUACUUUAAAAACCAUGUGGCCGCUACCUUUGUGGAUAAAAACCCAGGUAGGAUGCUGUUUGGAAUGCAGAAAGUGCUGGGCAAGAAUGGAACUACUGGGGCUGCUUUCUCAACUCAGCCAAUUUGAGGUGUGUUUGGCCCAUUGCAGAUGCUGAUGGUAAGCAAAGUCUGGCCUUUCCUCUUCUGAAGUCUUAUCCACCUUCAAAGAGCUACCCAGCUGCCAAAAUAUAGCCCUAUACAUUGAUCUAAAAGUGACUCCUGGUGUCCUUUCACCCUCAGACACAGUGUGGGUUGUCUCCACAGGUUGCUGGGCAGAUGCUCACAUGCCUUGGGGUCUCCUGACUCUGCUUAAGGCACAGAAGAGGCAUCUGUGGAGGAAAGUGGAGUGGGUGAAGUGGAUUUCAGAAGAGGCAGCUGGGCAAGAGGUAUAUUUUGAGAAGCAACAAAUGGGAGCCCAGAGUAACUGCACGACCAGCCCAGCACAGAGGGAGAGCUGUCAAGUGCUGCUCACAGACAGCCAGGGAUUGUUAGAAAAGUAUGGUUAUAUACUAUUGCCCAUGCCACUUUUGAAGUUCCAUGACCUCAGAUCAUUGGGAAGAACUUAAGAGCCGUGAGAUUUAUGGGGUUGGAACAUCCAGGGAUCCUUCCAUCUACCACCACUUCUGUCCCUGGAAAAGAGUGAGCUUCUGCCUAUGUCCUCAGCAGAAGGCUGCCUGUCCCUGAUCGCCCCCCCUAACCCCACCUACAGGAAAGAAGACUACAGAGGGUGCCCGUGGACUUCUGUCACAUGGUCCAUCCUGGACCUUCCAGCAAAAGCCAAACCAAACCAUCAAGCCAAAUGCCACGGGGGCUCUCCGCCCAGUACCCGGUGCCAGGGCUGCUCAGAUCUCGAUGAGGCUGGCAAGGCGCAGGCAGAGGGGCGCGUCGGCAGGCAUGGCGCUGCGCUUGAUCUCGUUCCCGUCCAGGCGCAGCACCUGCAGCUUGGAGAAGUUCACGACGUCCACCACGGUGCAGAAGCUGCUGAUGGAGAAC
RNAcentral lists this long non-coding RNA (1761 nucleotides) under Homo sapiens (human). RNAcentral describes it as "HSALNT0020248". The record is from RNAcentral. Lineage: Eukaryota; Metazoa; Chordata; Mammalia; Primates; Hominidae.